UACGUAGGCAGCAAGCGUUGUUCGGAGUUACUGGGCGUAAAGGGUGUGUAGGCGGUUGCUUAAGUUUGGUGUGAAAUCUCCCGGCUCAACUGGGAGGGUGCGCCGAAUACUGAGUGACUCGAGUGCGGGAGAGGAAAGUGGAAUUCCUGGUGUAGCGGUGAAAUGCGUAGAUAUCAGGAGGAACACCGGUGGUGUAGACGGCUUUCUGGACCGUAACUGACGCUGAGGAGCGAAAGCGUGGGGAGCGAACAGG
This 253-nucleotide ribosomal RNA is filed under the name uncultured bacterium. RNAcentral describes it as "partial 16S ribosomal RNA". It matches the Rfam family "Bacterial small subunit ribosomal RNA", at positions 524 to 776 of the family's 1533-position model. The record is from RNAcentral.